AACGGUGAAGCCAAGCUUGCUUGGUGGAUCAGUGGCGAACGGGUGAGUAACACGUGAGCAACCUGCCCUGAACUCUGGGAUAAGCGCUGGAAACGGCGUCUAAUACUGGAUAUGAGCUGCGGAGGCAUCUUCGUGGUUGGAAAGAUUUUUCGGUUUGGGAUGGGCUCGCGGCCUAUCAGCUUGUUGGUGAGGUAAUGGCUCACCAAGGCGUCGACGGGUAGCCGGCCUGAGAGGGUGACCGGCCACACUGGGACUGAGACACGGCCCAGACUCCUACGGGAGGCAGCAGUGGGGAAUAUUGCACAAUGGGCGGAAGCCUGAUGCAGCAACGCCGCGUGAGGGAUGACGGCCUUCGGGUUGUAAACCUCUUUUAGCAGGGAAGAAGCGAAAGUGACGGUACCUGCAGAAAAAGCGCCGGCUAACUACGUGCCAGCAGCCGCGGUAAUACGUAGGGCGCAAGCGUUAUCCGGAAUUAUUGGGCGUAAAGAGCUCGUAGGCGGUUUGUCGCGUCUGCUGUGAAAACCCGAGGCUCAACCUCGGGCCUGCAGUGGGUACGGGCAGACUAGAGUGCGGUAGGGGAGAUUGGAAUUCCUGGUGUAGCGGUGGAAUGCGCAGAUAUCAGGAGGAACACCGAUGGCGAAGGCAGAUCUCUGGGCCGUAACUGACGCUGAGGAGCGAAAGGGUGGGGAGCAAACAGGCUUA
RNAcentral lists this ribosomal RNA (702 nucleotides) under Microbacterium sp. ZY-2006h. Its description in RNAcentral is "bacterial SSU rRNA". It matches the Rfam family "Bacterial small subunit ribosomal RNA", at positions 65 to 780 of the family's 1533-position model. The record is from RNAcentral. Lineage: Bacteria; Bacillati; Actinomycetota; Actinomycetes; Micrococcales; Microbacteriaceae.